UCUACCUUCCGGGUGGGGGAAUAACCCAGGGAAACUUGGGCUAACACCGCAUAAUGCAGCGGCACCACAUGGUGACAGUUGUUAAAGCGGGGGAUCUUAGGACCUCGCGCCUGAAGAGGAGCCUGCGGCGGAUUAGCUAGUUGGUGAGGUAACGGCUCACCAAGGUGACGAUCCGUAGCCGGCCUGAGAGGGCGGUCGGCCACACUGACACUGACAUACGGGUCAG
RNAcentral lists this ribosomal RNA (226 nucleotides) under uncultured bacterium. RNAcentral describes it as "partial 16S ribosomal RNA". It matches the Rfam family "Bacterial small subunit ribosomal RNA", at positions 125 to 334 of the family's 1533-position model. The record is from RNAcentral.